AACAAACAAAAAAAAAAAACCUUCUUGAUCUCACCCAGAUGCAUGAUGAUUUAGUCUAAAUAAUUGUCUAGCACUAAAGCUUCAGACUCUGUUUAAACUAAUCCUUUGCUAGGUGAGAAGAAAUAUGGUUUAUUUCCAUUGUAUUGCUACCUAAAAUGUUCAGGAUUAGGAGAUAAACUUGUCCGGUAAUAAAUCAUGUUACAAGUUAAGUAGUCCAGAUACAAUGUUAUCUUACUUCAUGCAUCAAACAUGUCGCUUUAUAAUUAAGCACAGUUUGCUAUUUCCAUUGCAAACUCCCAUUUCCCCCACUCCAAGAAUUUUAACUCAUUUUAACUCAGCUGUCUGAGAUGCUAAAUAUUUAGGCUAGAUGAGAGAGAGACUGCCACCUACCUCCCUUGAUCACCUUCCCUUUCAGUACUUUUCAGUAGUAAAGGAAAAACUCUCACUAAAAUGCUGAUAUGAAAGUUAUAUGCUUCACCAUCCCUCUACAGCUUUUUCAGCAUAGGGGUGGAGUGGGGUUGAUUCUUCUGAGGGGGAGGUGGUUAGCAUAUAAGCCUGUUUGUUAACUUGAGAUAGAAUUUGGGGUUUGACUUUUUGAUACUUUUGUAUCUUAUACUAAUAUGUGUGAAGAACAAUGAACAAAGACACUGUGUUGCAUUUCCCAAAACCUGAUGGGAUUUUUAGUACAAUGGGAAGAGAUAAGGGAUAGAGCAGUUAAAGUGUUACAGGGUAUGGUGGGUGUGUAAUAUAUGAGCAUACACCGAAAGGCUGCCUGGCUCCUUUCUCAAGCCAAGGUCAAGCAACCAGUUGGGGUGGGGGAAGAGGCAUAAGAAACACUAAAAGCCAAAGAAAAGCCUGGUCUUGGCCAGAACACAACCUCACUCCUUACCCCUCCCAUGGGAUACAAAAGAGGUGGGAUAAAGACCCAGACCCGGACCCAUGACCCUCUAAAAUGGAACAUGACCAUAAGUUGUAAGGAGUGUGACUAGGGAUGUGCACUGCAGAUAUUUGAGCCUGCUAAAGAGGAGGAGAUGUGAAUGGAGAACAGAGACCUGCAGCAUCAGAGCAGGGAAGGGGGACAUGGGGUAAAUGCUGUGUGGCAUCAGAGCUGGGAAUGGAACACUGGGAAACAGACUCUGCCAGCAUAUAGAACUGUGGUAUACAUGUUUGCUUGGAACUAAACCCAAUAAACAUCGCAUUGCCUGCACUUUGGACUUCUGGUCAUCUGCAUUCUCUCUGCAUGACAAGAACCAGGGGAGAGGGUGAAGGGAAAGCCCUCUUAACAGUGGUAGCCAGACAGGAAGUGCAACUCUGUUGGGGCAACUUGCCCGGCCUCAUCCAACAGUGCUCUAGGACAGUAAGUAGGUCUCUGGUGCCCAAGACCCAUCCCUGUUGGAGGGGAAGCCCCCAGACUGGUGGCCAGAGGCAAACUGAAGAUACAGAAGCAAAGAGCCUCGUGGGCAUGAGCCACACCAAUGUAUACUAUUCUUCAAAUGCAGACCUGGUGACAUCUGAGACCUGAGAAGUAUCUAGAUACAGCAAGCAAUUUAGGACUGGUAACAGUUGUCGGAUUGAAAGCCUUGAAGAAUAAAACCCAGCACCAGAAGAAUAUAGACAACUAACUACCUGGUUGUUGUAAGAAAUGUUGCUUUAUUUGACUUCUUCCAGAGAGUUAUUCUUCUGGCUACUCUAACCCAUCUGUCCCUUUGGCAUGUAAACUGCACUGCUGAACCACUUACAACUUUAUAUCAUUUAUCACCAUCCAUUUUCAGACCUGCUUAAACCUGGUGUGUAACUUACACCUCCGUUUACAUCACCAUUCAGUUUAGUCCUAGUAUUUCUACUUAACCCACAUCUCUAAUACUAAGCCAUUUAGAGCUGUACCCUUUGUAGAUUUCACUGUAGAACGCCUAGGAGCUGAAUGAAGUCUAUUUCAGGGGGUUGCUCUAAGAAUUUUCAUGAUCAAAGGGAGAGAUGGGGAUGGUGGUGGGAAGUUUUCUCCUAAAUGUAUAUUUAAUGAUGUUAAUGUUUGAAUUAAUGUGUUUGCUGUAACAAUUAGUAUAAAAUGAGUUAAUUAUGGAACAGAAAUCAAUGGAGUCCAUGAUUCAAGAUGAUGAUGUGCCAUAACAACAACUCGGACUCCAUGUUGUUGCUCCUUCUUGCCAGAACUUUCACACCUUUUCAAACUAGUGGCUGGAAAAGAGCAACGGACUCUUAGGGGGCAGUUAGAACCAGCUCAGACCGCUAGGUUUGUGCCACUGAGCAUAUAAAAAGGGCUGCGUGCCUGAGCAUUCUUGCUCUCCACCAGAGCAGCAGCCAGAUAUCACAUUGAUUUGUGCGGACGUCGAGGAUCUCCUCAGUGACUCCGGACCCACACCAUCGCCCAAGAAGGCAUCACUUAUCAUCACUUACGAACUAUAACACCUGCCUAUAUCCUAAUUCCUGCAACCCCUUUAUCUGCAAUCCUGGUUCUAGUAGAUCUUCACUGAUGGUCCUGUGCUCCUCUCUCCCAUAGCCCAAGUCAGGCUGUGAAGCUUAGUUUGAGGUCCAGGAUUUGGAACUCACGCUCUCAAGCUACAAUGAGAUACACCACCAUCAGCUGUUUUGACUUACCUGAAGUUGUCGCCUCUGACUCAGUACAGUAUUGGGUUAGUUUGUGUUUUCCUUUUGUUUACUUUAAAUAUAGCCAAGGUUAAGGGUUGUAUGGGUCUCCGGGCUUCACGUCCAACUGGGGGCAGCCGCACUUGCAUUUGUAUUGGAUUGUUUAUUCUAGUUAUCAUUCCCCUAUCCCUGCGAUUGUCAAUUUCCUUAAUAAAUCUUUGUUAACUGUUUUCGAAGCA
Long non-coding RNA from Gopherus flavomarginatus (Mexican gopher tortoise), 2840 nucleotides. RefSeq lists it as uncharacterized. The transcript has 2 exons. The record is from RefSeq and is a predicted model, not a curated record. Lineage: Eukaryota; Metazoa; Chordata; Testudines; Testudinidae.